RNAcentral lists this ribosomal RNA (1387 nucleotides) under Plantibacter cousiniae (nom. nud.). RNAcentral's name for it is "bacterial SSU rRNA". It matches the Rfam family "Bacterial small subunit ribosomal RNA". The record is from RNAcentral. Lineage: Bacteria; Bacillati; Actinomycetota; Actinomycetes; Micrococcales; Microbacteriaceae.
GCAGUCGAACGAUGAAGCCCAGCUUGCUGGGUGGAUUAGUGGCGAACGGGUGAGUAACACGUGAGUAACCUGCCCUUGACUCUGGGAUAAGCGUUGGAAACGACGUCUAAUACCGGAUACGAGCUUCCACCGCAUGGUGAGUUGCUGGAAAGAAUUUUGGUCAAGGAUGGACUCGCGGCCUAUCAGCUUGUUGGUGAGGUAAUGGCUCACCAAGGCGACGACGGGUAGCCGGCCUGAGAGGGUGACCGGCCACACUGGGACUGAGACACGGCCCAGACUCCUACGGGAGGCAGCAGUGGGGAAUAUUGCACAAUGGGCGAAAGCCUGAUGCAGCAACGCCGCGUGAGGGACGACGGCCUUCGGGUUGUAAACCUCUUUUAGCAGGGAAGAAGCGAAAGUGACGGUACCUGCAGAAAAAGCACCGGCUAACUACGUGCCAGCAGCCGCGGUAAUACGUAGGGUGCAAGCGUUGUCCGGAAUUAUUGGGCGUAAAGAGCUCGUAGGCGGUUUGUCGCGUCUGCUGUGAAAUCCCGAGGCUCAACCUCGGGUCUGCAGUGGGUACGGGCAGACUAGAGUGCGGUAGGGGAGAUUGGAAUUCCUGGUGUAGCGGUGGAAUGCGCAGAUAUCAGGAGGAACACCGAUGGCGAAGGCAGAUCUCUGGGCCGCUACUGACGCUGAGGAGCGAAAGGGUGGGGAGCAAACAGGCUUAGAUACCCUGGUAGUCCACCCCGUAAACGUUGGGCGCUAGAUGUGGGGACCAUUCCACGGUUUCCGUGUCGUAGCUAACGCAUUAAGCGCCCCGCCUGGGGAGUACGGCCGCAAGGCUAAAACUCAAAGGAAUUGACGGGGGCCCGCACAAGCGGCGGAGCAUGCGGAUUAAUUCGAUGCAACGCGAAGAACCUUACCAAGGCUUGACAUAUACGAGAACGGGCCAGAAAUGGUCAACUCUUUGGACACUCGUAAACAGGUGGUGCAUGGUUGUCGUCAGCUCGUGUCGUGAGAUGUUGGGUUAAGUCCCGCAACGAGCGCAACCCUCGUUCUAUGUUGCCAGCACGUAAUGGUGGGAACUCAUGGGAUACUGCCGGGGUCAACUCGGAGGAAGGUGGGGACGACGUCAAAUCAUCAUGCCCCUUAUGUCUUGGGCUUCACGCAUGCUACAAUGGCCAGUACAAAGGGCUGCAAUACCGUAAGGUGGAGCGAAUCCCAAAAAGCUGGUCCCAGUUCGGAUUGAGGUCUGCAACUCGACCUCAUGAAGUCGGAGUCGCUAGUAAUCGCAGAUCAGCAACGCUGCGGUGAAUACGUUCCCGGGCCUUGUACACACCGCCCGUCAAGUCAUGAAAGUCGGUAACACCCGAAGCCAGUGGCCUAACCGCAAGGAUGGAGCUUC